Molecule: small nucleolar RNA, 99 nt
Filed under: Tetrapisispora phaffii CBS 4417
Lineage: Eukaryota; Fungi; Ascomycota; Saccharomycetes; Saccharomycetales; Saccharomycetaceae
Description: Small nucleolar RNA snR64
Rfam family: Small nucleolar RNA snR64
About the family: snR64 is a member of the C/D class of snoRNA which contain the C (UGAUGA) and D (CUGA) box motifs. Most of the members of the box C/D family function in directing site-specific 2'-O-methylation of substrate RNAs.
Source: Rfam by way of RNAcentral
AUUAAGUGAUGAGGAACCAGAUAGGGACAACUGAUUCGUUUAAGUGACGAGAAAAGUCUUUAGCCCAGUUUUAGUAGAACUUUUGGGCAUUUCCUGAUU